This 253-nucleotide ribosomal RNA is filed under the name uncultured bacterium. RNAcentral's name for it is "partial 16S ribosomal RNA". It matches the Rfam family "Bacterial small subunit ribosomal RNA", at positions 524 to 776 of the family's 1533-position model. The record is from RNAcentral.
UACGAGGGGGGCAAGCGUUGUCCGGAAUCAUUGGGCGUAAAGAGCGUGUAGGCGGUCCGAUAAGUCCGCUCUGAAAGCCCGGGGCUCAACCCCGGGAGGCGGGCGGAUACUGUCGGGCUAGAGUCCGGAAGAGGCAAGUGGAAUUCCUGGUGUAGCGGUGAAAUGCGCAGAUAUCAGGAGGAACACCGAUGGCGAAGGCAGCUUGCUGGGACGGUACUGACGCUGAGACGCGAAAGCGUGGGGAGCAAACAGG